This 4064-nucleotide long non-coding RNA is filed under the name Mytilus galloprovincialis (Mediterranean mussel). Lineage: Eukaryota; Metazoa; Mollusca; Bivalvia; Mytilida; Mytilidae. The record is from RNAcentral.
UUAAUUGGAAUGACUAAGUAUAUACAUAAUGUAGUGUAUACAAAUACUAAAGUUAUUUGUUUUCCUAACCCUUCCCAUACAGGUACAGAUUUGCUGAGGUGCGGUACUUACGACCAGAAGAGAUCCAUAAAGGCAAGCACCUGCCAACCAGAGUUGAGACUACGGUCAUUUUCUUCCCAGAUGUAUGGAGUUGUAGUCCAUCCCGCCUUGAGUGGGCAUCGCUACAGACAGCCUACAAAAAACAACUGCAGAAAAAGAUAGCCGCCAUUUCUGAUGGCCCUAAAGACACAAGCUCACAGGCACAGACUUUAUACUUUUGGUUUCUUUUUAUCUAGGUGUUAAUUUGUUGAAGACCUUUAUGUAAAGGUUAUUCAACUAAGAUUAGAUCAUCACAGAGACCCUGAAAAAAUAAGCAGAACACAGGGUUGUUGAUGUAACAUUUAUUUUUCAUUAAUCAUAUAGCUGCAGGUUACACAGUAAAGGUUAUCAUUAUAAUUUAAGUUAAACAUUUUUACUUUCAAUUUAUUGAAAAAAGAGUUUAUGACUUUUUAUGUUUUGACUGCAACAGUUUAUCCUUUUAACAUAAUUUUAGAAUAAACUCAAGCUACAUAAAAGACAGACGAGCUUUUGAUUUAGAGCAAAUUGUCAUUUCUGAAAUAUAUAUAUAUUCAACAGGGACAGAAGAAUAUGACACAAGAAAAUAAGUCAUGAACACUUUUUGCAAUAUUGAGAUAAAAAAAUACUGUAAAUUUUUCUGUGUUUAAAUUUAAAGACUUAUGUCACUUUAAAAAAAAAGUUUUUGUUUAAUUGUUACAUCUUUGCCUAUAACUGCUUUGAGAUUUUAUAUUCAGCAAUCAUCUCUCUCUUUUUUUUGCUAUUCUUUUUUAUAAACUAAUUGACAUUAUUCUUAAAACAGAUAAAAAAGUAUUUCUGAAAAUGGAACUUCAAGAGGCACAAGUUAACAUCAUGUUGGCAUAUUACAUAAACAAACAAUAAGUUAUUGAACUUAUCGGAAAAUUUAAAUCUGUGAAAAUUCUGUUCUGAUUAUCUCAUGUGUUAUUUCUUAAGGAAGAAGAUGAAGACACAGAAAACAUUGAAGUCAGAGAUCCUACCCACUUCUCACAGCUAGAUCCCAAGGCUAUGAAGGUAUGUCUGGCUGUACACUCUUUUCACUUUUAAAAGGCUUCAAGAUAUAUUAUUUCUUUCUUACUUAUCAAUUAAAGUAUUUACGGACAAAGCCAGAAUUUCCCACUUUUUUGAAAAAGAUAAAUCACAUAAAGAUAUCUUUUACAAAAAUUUAUAUUGCGACACAAGACAGUUUAUAUUGUGACACAAAAAUGUUAUGAUAGAUUUUUUUCAAUGCUUAAAACAAUCCAGUGUUUAAAUUUUAGUCUCCCAUUCAAAAUGAAACAAUCUUUACCCUUCACAAGCACUUUGAUUUUUUGGUUUUUCCUAAUUUAAAAAAAAUUUAAAGGCAAGAGGAAAUAUGCAAGACAAAAUUAUUUUUACCUUGCUAUUGGAUAGAUUAGUUAAUGUUUUCUGAAUAUACGAGGAAUGAUAUUUGAGAGAUAUUUAGUUCAUUGUAAUCUUCUAGUUAACCAAAAAAAGUGACCUUCCAUUUUCUCCUCUGUCGUAAUCGUUAUGUUUGCUAAUUUAAAAGACAUAUUACUAAUUAUGCAUUUUUCAAUGUUGCUAAUUUUGUAAACUUUAGUUGGUGUUAGGAUUGUUCAAUGUUGGUAAUUUUGUAAACUUUAGUUGGUGUUAGGAUUUGCAUUGUGCUUCAAACUUUAUGGUAAUUUUGUAAACUGUGAGAUUGGUGUUAGCGAUUGUCAAUGUUGGUAAUUUGUAACUUUGUUUGAGUGUUAGGAUUAUUCAAUGUGAGUAAUUGUUGUAAACUUUAUGUGUGGUUGUAUGGAUUGGUUUCAAUGUUGCUAAUUGUAAACUUUAGAUGGUUUAGGAUUGUUCAUGAUGGUAAUUCUUGUAAACUUUAGUUGGUGUAGGAUUGUAUCAAUGUUGGUAAUUUUUGUAAACUUUAGUGGUGUUCAAGGAUUGUUCACGUGCUAUUUUGAAACUUUACGUUGGUGUUAGAUUUUCAAUGUUGCUUAAGUUAUGUAAACUUGUAGUUGCGGUUAAGGAUUGUUCAUGGUGGUAAUAUCUUGUAACUUAAGUUGGUGUUAGAGAGAUAGUAUGUUCAACUGUUGGUAUUUUGUAAACUUAUCAGAUUGGGUGUUAGGAUUUUCAAUGGUCUGUAAUUCUUGUAACUUUAGAAUGGUUAGGAUUGUUCAUGUUGUAAAUUUAGUGUAUAACUUUGGUUGAUGUAAGGUUGUUCAUGUUGGUAAUAUUUGUAACUUAGUUGGUGUUAGAGAUUUCAACGUGUUGCUCAAUUUUGUAAACUUUAGUUGCGUAGUUGCAGUGGUAAUUUAACAGAUGUUAGGAUUUAUUAUUUUGUAAACGUUAGUUGGUGUUAGGAUUGUUCAAUGUUGGUAUAUUUUAAACUUUAGUUGUUUAGGAUUGUUCAAUUUGUAUUUUGUAACUUUAGUUGUGUUAGGAUUUUACAAUGUUGGAUUUUGUUAAACUUUAGUUGGUGUAUUAGGCAUGUUUUCACUGUUUUGGUAAUUUUGUAAACUUUAGAUUGGUGUUUGGAUUGUUUCAAUUGGCCACGGUUUUAAUUGUUGGUUUACGAUUUUCUCCCAUGAAAGGUCGGGUCGGUCUGUGGGAGGAAAAAAAGAAAAAAAUCAUCUUUAAAAACAGAAAAUAUGCAAAAUCAAUAUAUACUUCACCUUCUAACAUACUUUUUGUUAUGCUAUUUUAUCAUCAUUUCUUCAAUUUUAGUUCGAUGAAAAAUUAGAUGCUCAGCUUGUUUAUAAACAUCGCAUAUUCGUCUAAUAAUUAGUAAAAAAAAGGGGUGACAGACAAAGAACGAAAUUAAAUCGGUCAUUCUUAGAAAACAAGAACAAACACGAUUCGCGUAGCUCUUACAAUUCCAGAAAACUCUGGUGAAUAAUGAUCUUCAGGAACGAAACUGAUAAAGAAAAAUGGUUAAACGUUGUAAAACAAAAAUAAGUUUACAACACACGUUGUCAAAGAACCUAAUAGACUCUCGUCCAAUCAUGAAAAACGAGAUUAUAGGUUAAUCUGUUUGUCCUCACAUUCCCGUUUUUUAUCCAAAUGACGAUUAUUUUUUUAUUAUCUAUUGAAACAAGAAAAUUCCAAUGAAUUUUGUUAAUAUCAGUAUUAAAACUUGAGAUGCUUCAUCCUGUCCAGCAUUUUGACAAGUCUAUUUCUAUGAGAUAUGCAUCUACAGACUGAUGAAUAAGGGAAGAACCUUUUAUUGUGUAUUUGGUUUAAACCACAAGUUUCGUUCGGCAAAAUAUUUGCGCAAAACAACAUUUCAAGGUCAGUCUAAUAAUUGAUUUGGUCUAUUUUUAAAAACGUAAACUGCAAGUUUUUAUUUUUCACAACAGAGAGUGUUAUACAAUUUGUUAGUGAUUUAAAUGCAUUUUCAUUUCAAUAAAAAAGCAAUCAUUUUAUUAUUUUUUCAGGGAUGAAUUGCAUUUGUUAGGGUGGCGGGGAAUAAAAGCAUGAAAAGUCAAUUUUAUUUUUAUUCUGGAAAUCGGGCACAAUCAGGUCGGCGAUCCGUAAACAACAAAUUAAAAACUUGGCCUUAAAGAACAGGGAAAUAAAAAAACUAAUAAAAAUGUUACACAAGUGAAGAAAUAUAAAAGUAGUUUGUGGAUUUAUGUAUUAAUGUAUGCAUUGAGUUAUAAAUAAAAGAAUAAAAAAAUAUCAGAACACUUGAGUGGUUAAAAAUAAAAGACUUCUAUUAAUCUUUUUUCUUGUGUAUUUUCAGAGUUUAGUAAUGUCAUCCCAUUAUAACUGACUAGUAUAACAUUUUGUUUAGGGGCCAGCUGAGCACAUUCUGUCUCUCGCUGCAUUGAAGACCGCAUUGUUGCCUUCGCGUUGUCUGCGAUCUUAGAUCAGGUUCGCUGUCUCUGACACAUUACCCAUUUUGCCAUUCUCUCAAUUUUAAUUUGUUACAGAUAUAGAUUUACCGACGAGAAUUA